AUGCGUACUGCCUCGCCUCGAGCCUGCCUCUGACCUGUUGGGCGCAUGCGCGGGGCUGGCGGUUCCUUUUCCUCCUGUGAAGCCGUUGUCUAGGGGAGGCCGCCAUCAGCACCGCAAAAACCAGCCGCAAUGGGGUUUGUAAAAGUCGUGAAGAGCAAGUCAUACUUCAAGCGAUACCAAGUGAAGUACAGGAGACGAAGAGAGGGUAAGACUGACUACUUCGCGAGAAAGCGCCUGGUCGUUCAGGACAAGA
Molecule: long non-coding RNA, 253 nt
Organism: Rhincodon typus (whale shark)
Lineage: Eukaryota; Metazoa; Chordata; Chondrichthyes; Orectolobiformes; Rhincodontidae
Exons: 3
Source: RefSeq, a predicted model, not a curated record